AGGGUGUGAGCCAGAGGGAUUCUCACAGGGGGAGGGCUGGGAUAAAAUAAAAACCCUUUAUUUCACAUCUGCAGUGUCCAACCACCGCUUCCAAGUGCUGAGCCUGAUCCUCAGCUCGUGUGGAGCAGCAUGAGGCUCAACAGGACCAUUUUUGUGGGCUGCCACCAGGUCUUGCUGCCUCUCUGUGUCCCCCCCAGCACGUGGAGACGCCUCAGCAGGAGGAUGCUCAACAGCACUUGUGAGUGCUGGAUUCCUGCUGUCACAUCAGCUGUCACCUUGGUGCUCCACGCUCUCCUCUUGCUGGCCCUUUACAUCAUGCUCAGCAGGAAAAUUGCCCAACAUUCCCGUGGGAUGCAGGCGAGCAGCAGCCCUGGGGAGCAUCCCAGCCCUCAUCCCGCCCCAGUUCCAGCCCCGUCACCGGGAGGGGACAAGGCACAGCAGCCCAGGGCACAACAGCCGGGGGCACAAAACCCAGCACCGGCCUGCGCAGGUAACGGGGUCCUGCAGUGCCAGGGCAUUGUCCUGGCACAGGGAUGGGAAUUUUGGGUGGCUUUUGUGUGA
Molecule: long non-coding RNA, 561 nt
Filed under: Corvus moneduloides (New Caledonian crow)
Lineage: Eukaryota; Metazoa; Chordata; Aves; Passeriformes; Corvidae
Description: lncRNA (ENSCMUG00000018082.1)
Source: RNAcentral